This 652-nucleotide long non-coding RNA is filed under the name Homo sapiens (human). RNAcentral's name for it is "non-protein coding lnc-APC-3:5". The record is from RNAcentral. Lineage: Eukaryota; Metazoa; Chordata; Mammalia; Primates; Hominidae.
CCUCCAAAGUACUGCUUCUGUCUGGUCAGCCUGCUGCUACAGCCUUGGCCAGCUAGGCCCUGCUGCUCAUGGUGCCAGCCCAGAGAGGAGCCAGCCAGGAGAUGGUGAGUGCUGUGGGGGUGGGGAGCCCCAAGGAGAAGGCACUGAGGAGGAAAAACAGGAUUAGCAGCUCAAACUGCCAGAGACAGAAAGCAAGCUCAAAUGAGUGACCUGAAACAGCAAGUGGUAGAUUUAGAACAGAACCAAAAACUUUUGCUAGAAAAUCAGUUUUUACAAGAGAAAAUGCAUGGACUCGUAGUUGAGAACCAUGAGUGAAGACAGCACUUGGGGAUGGAUGCUCUGGUUACUGAAGAGGAGGCGAAAGCCAAGAUAAUUCCAUCUAUUUGAUGCUUGACAUCCCUAACUAGGCAGAUGAGGGUAGAAGUUAGUUGUGGUGGGGUUGGAAGUAAACAUCAACUACCUUCCCAGUAUGAUAUCCUGUUGGGCAUUCUGGACAACUUAGACCCACUAGUGUUCUUCAAAUGUCCUUCCCCAGGGUCUGCCAGCCUGGAGCAGCUCCCAGAGGUCUACUCAGAAGGACCCAAUUCCUAACCAGCCUCCCUUUCUCUGUCAGUGGGGACAUUAUCAGCCAAGCUUGAAGCUAUUAAUGAAC